Juglans microcarpa x Juglans regia is the source of this 249-nucleotide long non-coding RNA. RefSeq lists it as uncharacterized. The record is from RefSeq and is a predicted model, not a curated record. Lineage: Eukaryota; Viridiplantae; Streptophyta; Magnoliopsida; Fagales; Juglandaceae. The transcript has 4 exons.
UCAUCAAAGACAAGAAGGGUGCUGAAAACGUAGUCGCCGACCACUUGUCUCGGCUUACAUUUGCUGAAAAUGAGUACACUGUCCCUAUCCUUGACUCUUUUCCUUAUGAACAAUUAAUGUCAGUUGAAAAUUUACCUUGGUUUGCUGACAUAGUUAAUUUUUUGGUGACAGGACAAACUCCACCCAAUUGGAGUGCUCAAGACAUACGAAAAUUCAAGCAUGAGGAAAUUAUGACAAAAAAAUUAAUUU